CACCCAAGUCACAGCUGACUCAUGCCACUGCUCUUUGUAAUGAGAUUCUGAACCUGCCACCAGCUCCUUUGGUGUAGUGUGAGCGAAGGAAAGAUUCUUGGGUAGAACUUCAUAAAGUCUGUCAUAAGAUCAGCCCCAGAGGAGGAGACUUUUCAGAUCCCAUCCCUCAUACAUAUUCAGAAGGCCAAGGAAACACCCUCAGGAUUGAACUAUGAUAAAGAAGGCUUUUGGACUUGGACCUCAUCCAAGGAGCUGGCUGCCUGCACUUUCACAGACCGUCAGCUUCAUCCCCAGGCCCCAAAUCCUGAAUUUGCCCUAUGUCAAUGAAAAACCAUCAUCAGCUUUUCUUUACAUUAAAAACUGAUUGUGAUCAUAGCAGUUUUUCCUGUUUUCUGGGAUCACUGCUGCAAAGAGGAAAAGUCACAAGAGGAUAAAAUGACACACACGCAAACUCUUCUGUGGCUGAAAUUCCCCUCACUCUUCCUGCCUCUAACCAAAAAGGAGGAUACAGACCAAGGAGCACUUCAUGAAGGUAGUCGCCUCCCUGCCCUGCUGUUUUUCACCUUCAAGAAGAAUCACUCCCUCCCAAGUAGGACCUCUCCCUGGUCACUAUAAUCCCAUGAUUUGUAAUGUGGGCUUCAUUCUGCAAAAGCCCAGGGCUGGUGUUAUCUAGGAGUGAUGGCAGUCAUUUCCAGAUCAUGAGCAGUCGCACAGAUAAGGCAAAGGGCAACUCCUGCCUAGCAUGUGUGACCCAAGAGAUGACAGAGAAGAGAAGGGAGGAAUGCACUCCUUCACCUGGUCCCUCAGCACUGAGCCAGCCUCCCAUUUGUACAUGGAAGGA
This 841-nucleotide non-coding RNA is filed under the name Pan troglodytes (chimpanzee). The record is from RNAcentral. Lineage: Eukaryota; Metazoa; Chordata; Mammalia; Primates; Hominidae.